Molecule: ribosomal RNA, 459 nt
Filed under: uncultured bacterium
Lineage: Bacteria
Description: partial 16S ribosomal RNA
Rfam family: Bacterial small subunit ribosomal RNA
Source: RNAcentral
GAUGAACGCUGGCGGCGUGCCUAAUACAUGCAAGUCGAGCGGUAAGGCCCUUCGGGGUACACGAGCGGCGGACGGCUGAGUAGCGCGUAGGAACGUACCCCAAAGUGAGGGAUAAGCACCAGAAAUGGUGUCUAAUACCGCAUAUGGUCUUCGGAUUAAAGCCUUCAGGCGCUUUGGGAGCGGCCUGCGUAUGAUUAGCUUGUUGGUGAGGUAAUGGCUCACCAAGGCGAUGAUCAUUAGCUGGUCUGAGAGGAUGAUCAGCCAGACUGGGACUGAGACACGGCCCAGACUCCUACGGGAGGCAGCAGUAGGGAAUUUUCCACAAUGGACGAAAGUCUGAUGGAGCAACGCCGCGUGCAGGAUGAAUGCCUUCGGGUUGUAAACUGCUUUUAUAUGUGACGAUAAUGACGGUAGCAUAUGAAUAAGGAUCGGCUAACUCCGUGCCAGCAGCCGCCGUAA